CUUUUGUUGUACUUUUCUUGGCGGGUCACACCAUCGUGUAACAGGAUCCUCCCAGAGCUCAGGCUGAUUUGCAGAACAAUGCAGGAGGUGUAACACGUCCGCAUUGUUUUUUAACGACCUGAACAGGUGACUCGAGUGCCUCACUGAUCCAUAACAUGAUCCUCACAGUCCUGUAAGUUCUGAGGUGGGGUGGAUGUUUGAGAUCUGGGGAAUCUGGAGGCCAAGCCAACACCUCGAACUCGUCAUUGUGUUCCUCAAACUGUUCCUGAACCACGUUAGCUUUGUGGUGGGACGCAUUGUCCUGCUGAAAGAGGCCACUGCCAUCAGGGAAUACCGUUUCCAAGAAAGGGUUGGACACUCUCAGAGCAUCCAUACACAUGAACGGCAGUUUCCCAGCAGAAUGCUGCCUCCGCUCACUCGCCUUCUUCCCAUGAUGUAAAAGAAAACCAGGCUACCUUCUUCCAUCGCUCCGUGGUCCAGUUCUGAUGCUCACGUGUUCAUUGUUGGUGUUUUCGGCAGCGACUACACCGUCUCAAAUGUGUGUUUUCCUGAGACCUUUCUAUCAGAACAAGCAUGAACUUCUUCUGUUGGAUUGGACCAAACGGGCCAGCCGUCCAAAUUCAGCUUGGCUGUCCAUGAACUUCACUCUGGUUCACUGCGUUUCCUUCCUUGGACCACUUCCUGACCGGAAUACCCGACAACAGCUGCAGUUUCAGGGAUGUUCUGACCUCGUUGUCAAGCCAUCACAGUUUGGUUCAUGUCAAAGUCCGCGUCCAUUUUUGAGGACACGGUGUUCACUUGCUGCCUGAUACAUCCACCUCACCUGUCAGAGGUCUGAGUGUUGCAGCUGAUUGCUGUAAGUGUAUACAAGCGUCAUACGUAUGUAUGAUUUCCUCUGAGGAUCAAUAAAGACUCAUUUUCUCUUA
Molecule: long non-coding RNA, 926 nt
Organism: Larimichthys crocea (large yellow croaker)
Lineage: Eukaryota; Metazoa; Chordata; Actinopteri; Sciaenidae
Exons: 2
Source: RefSeq, a predicted model, not a curated record